This is an RNA transcript of Drosophila mauritiana, 563 nucleotides long. It is a transcript of the gene named neuropeptide-like 4, with no coding region annotated. The record is from RefSeq and is a predicted model, not a curated record. The transcript is spliced from 3 exons. NCBI's taxonomy places the organism in Eukaryota, Metazoa, Arthropoda, Insecta, Diptera, Drosophilidae.
GAACGACACACAUUUGGAGUUUUUGGGGAAGGGUACAUUUGGCAGGCAUUAGGCGAGCGGGUUGAGAGCCGUAAUGAGCCAUAAACUUGGCCGGCGGGAAUGCAUGUGGAAUACCAAAGUGCGAUGCAGUCAGCGAUGCGGGGCAAAGCGGCUCAGAUCCGCCUCAAAACGCCAAUUUUUGAGGUUGCGGUGGUAUAAAAGGCUGCAAUCUGGCAAACAUCGAGUGCAGUUCGAUUUUGUUUGUCAAGUCGAGAAUUAACCCUUUCGUCAUCAUGCUGAAGCUGGUACUCCUCCUCGCCGCCCUCCUGGCCGUUGCCAUGGCCGUUCCUGCUCCAGGACCCAGUCCAAAUCCCGCCCCGGUGCCACAGUUUGUCUACUCCGCCGGCUAUCCUGCCGUGGGCUAUGCCUCCCCGUACGUCUACUACGGCUGAACUUCAUAUCCGGAUUCACUGAAUAAACCCUUUCGACAUGGACAUGGACAACCAGUUUGAUUUACUUAAUACACAUAGUUUGGCAUAUUUUCCAUUUCCCAAGAACAAUAAAUAAAUUGAAAUCAUAGAAAU